GGAGCCAAUCGCUAGUGUGUGUGACUAAAGAAAAAUACUGUCUAAAUUUUUUUUGAACUCUCAACAUACUGUUUGAUUACUGUAAUGACCUAUAGAAUUACUUGCAUUUCUCAAACAGUCUAUACUGAACAAUCAAUUCAUCAAUGUACAUAAUUCUUCCACCUAUAUAAAAAUAUAUAAAUAUACAGAUAUAGUAGAAUAUGUACAUUAAUCAAAAGAUGGGUCUAUGAUUUCAUGCAAUGUAAAUUUUUUUAAAAUCAAUAUAUAAUUAAUUAUUUAAAUUAAUAUCCAAUUAUAGGAUGUCGUAAAAUAUGCACUCGACACUUGCGUGAGGACUGGUUGCCUUAGACACCGAUUGGGACCC
This 364-nucleotide long non-coding RNA is filed under the name Elaeis guineensis (African oil palm). Its description in RNAcentral is "long non-coding RNA (EGUI_LNC017825)". Lineage: Eukaryota; Viridiplantae; Streptophyta; Magnoliopsida; Arecales; Arecaceae. The record is from RNAcentral.